ACGAUGUGGAGCGAAUACCAGAAAAUAAUGUCCCAGUUCAGAUUGCAGGCUGCAACUCGCCUGCAUGAAGUCGGAAUUGCUAGUAAUCGCAGAUCAGCAUGCUGUGGUGAAUACGUUCCCGGGCCUUGUACACACCGCCCGUCACACCAUGGGAGUCGGUAACACCCAAAGUUGGUAGUCUAACCGCAAGGAGGACGCCGCCUAAGGUGGGAUUGAUGACUGGGGUGAAGUCGUAACAAGGUACC
This 245-nucleotide ribosomal RNA is filed under the name uncultured bacterium. Its description in RNAcentral is "partial 16S ribosomal RNA". It matches the Rfam family "Bacterial small subunit ribosomal RNA", at positions 1257 to 1500 of the family's 1533-position model. The record is from RNAcentral.